RNAcentral lists this ribosomal RNA (473 nucleotides) under uncultured Flexibacter sp. RNAcentral describes it as "bacterial SSU rRNA". It matches the Rfam family "Bacterial small subunit ribosomal RNA", at positions 40 to 524 of the family's 1533-position model. Lineage: Bacteria; Pseudomonadati; Bacteroidota; Cytophagia; Cytophagales; Flexibacteraceae. The record is from RNAcentral.
CGGCGGCUUAUCAUGCAAGUCCUGGGACGAUAGCAAUAUUGGACCGGCCACGGGUGCGUAACACGUACACAACUUUCCGUCAAGUGGGGGAUAGCCUAAAGAAAUUUGGAUUAAUACCCCAUAGAAUAAUGAUGUGGCAUCAUAUUAUUAUUAAAGCUCCGGCGCUUGAUGAUGGGUGUGCGGCUGAUUAGGUAGUUGGCGGGGUAACGGCCCACCAAGCCUGCGAUCAGUAGCUGAUGUGAGAGCAUGAUCAGCCACACGGGCACUGAGACACGGGCCCGACUCCUACGGGAGGCAGCAGUAAGGAAUAUUGGUCAAUGGGCGCAAGCCUGAACCAGCCAUGCCGCGUGGAGGAUGAAGGUCCUCUGGAUUGUAAACUUCUUUUAUUUGGGACGAAAAAUAGAGAUUCUUCUUUACUUGACGGUACCAGAUGAAUAAGCACCGGCUAACUCCGUGCCAGCAGCCGCGGUAAU